UACGUAGGGGGCAAGCGUUAUCCGGAUUUACUGGGUGUAAAGGGAGCGUAGACGGCAUAGCAAGUCUGAAGUGAAAGCCCAAGGCUCAACCAUGGGACUGCUUUGGAAACUGUUAAGCUAGAGUGCUGGAGAGGUAAGCGGGAUUCCUAGUGUAGCGGUGAAGUGCGUAGAUAUUAGGAAGAACACCAGUGGCGAAGGCGGCUUACUGGACAGUAACUGACGUUGAGGCUCGAAAGCGUGGGGAGCAAACAGG
RNAcentral lists this ribosomal RNA (253 nucleotides) under uncultured bacterium. RNAcentral's name for it is "partial 16S ribosomal RNA". It matches the Rfam family "Bacterial small subunit ribosomal RNA", at positions 524 to 776 of the family's 1533-position model. The record is from RNAcentral.